CAUCCUCCAAGGCUAAAUACUCCUGACUGACCGAUAGUGAACCAGUACCGUGAGGGAAAGGCGAAAAGAACCCCGGCGAGGGGAGUGAAAAAGAACCUGAAACCGUGUACGUACAAGCAGUGGGAGCACCCUUUGGGGUGUGACUGCGUACCUUUUGUAUAAUGGGUCAGCGACUUAUAUUCUGUAGCAAGGUUAACCGAAUAGGGGAGCCGGAGGGAAACCGAGUCUUAAUUGGGCGUUAAGUUGCAGGGUAUAGACCCGAAACCCGGUGAUCUAGCCAUGGGCAGGUUGAAGGUUGGGUAACACUAACUGGAGGACCGAACCGACUAAUGUUGAAAAAUUAGCGGAUGACCUGUGGCUGGGGGUGAAAGGCCAAUCAAACCGGGAGAUAGCUGGUUCUCCCCGAAAGCUAUUUAGGUAGCGCCUCGUGAAUUCAUCUCCGGGGGUAGAGCACUGUUUCGGCUAGGGGGCCAUCCCGGCUUACCAACCCGAUGCAAACUGCGAAUACCGGAGAAUGUUAUCACGGGAGACACACGGCGGGUGCUAACGUCCGUCGUGAAGAGGGAAACAACCCAGACCGCCAGCUAAGGUCCCAAAGUCAUGGUU
RNAcentral lists this ribosomal RNA (606 nucleotides) under Salmonella enterica subsp. enterica. RNAcentral describes it as "partial 23S ribosomal RNA". It matches the Rfam family "Bacterial large subunit ribosomal RNA", at positions 454 to 1060 of the family's 2925-position model. The record is from RNAcentral. Lineage: Bacteria; Pseudomonadati; Pseudomonadota; Gammaproteobacteria; Enterobacterales; Enterobacteriaceae.